CAUCAGACACGAAGGAGAGGCCAACAGAUGAGGGAAGCCAUUUUUCUGCAAUGGAAUUAAAUGGCCAAGUGGGUUUUUCCUUUGUUGCAAAUGGGGAAUGUUUUUCCUUUGACUCUACCAUCCAAUUCAGGACGUCUCAGUGUGUUUAACAUUUGUCAGCAGGCCCAAGGACUCACAGUUGGAAGACUGGAGAAGACUUUUUAAAAAGAUCUGGAUUUUUCCUUAUGACUUGGAAUCCAUCUUUGUCUUGUAUAACUAGGUCAUAGCACACCAUUCAUGUCAGCAGUUAACAGUUUUGAAUUCCAAAAAAACCUAAAGCAGUAAACAGUCCUCAGCGAAGCCGCCUUUUUGCCUACCCAACCCUGGAAAGUUUGCAGAAGUGGAAGGAGCAGAACGUGAGGGUGUAACUUACAAAAAGGUUCUGGGCCGGAGAAGGGGCGACGUUCGGGCACCCCCCGAAUGGACAAUCUUUCCUUCUGUCGACGGCAGGGGCAGGCCUAGUUUGACUCUGACAGUCCUCCCACUAAGCUUCUGUUGGUAGGCAUUUGGGGCGUGCAAUUCUCUGCCGAAUUUAGCAGCAUACGAGAGGAUCUACUUGCAAGUAUUUCCCAGUUGUGUGUUCUUCGGCGGGGGAAGGGCCCUGGGUGCCGCCUACUUCUGAAAGACACAGGUCACUGCCAGAAAGCCCAACUGUGCUGUGGCCUCCCCUCCAGCCGCCCCCGUGGGGCAUGUGGGGUGACAGUGUGAGCCGUCCUCUGUCUGGCUGCUAGGGAGGCAAAGAACAGAGACCCGAGGUUCUGGCCAGCUUUCUCUAUGAAAGGGCCUUCCUUGACGCUUCUCCACUUUCCUGGGAUUGUUUUCUUCUCCAGUCCCUAAAUGGGCACGCCUGUAUAUAAACCUUGUUUCUAGAACCAGACAAAGCUGGAUUUGAAACCUGGUGAGCCAUUGAACAGCUAUGGCCUUGCGUAAGCGGCAUAGUCUCCAAGCCUGUUUCUCCAUCUCCGAAAACAG
This 1011-nucleotide long non-coding RNA is filed under the name Pongo abelii (Sumatran orangutan). RNAcentral describes it as "lincRNA". The record is from RNAcentral. Lineage: Eukaryota; Metazoa; Chordata; Mammalia; Primates; Hominidae.